AGUGAACGCUGGCGGUAGGCCUAACACAUGCAAGUCGAACGGCAGCACAGUAAGAGCUUGCUCUUACGGGUGGCGAGUGGCGGACGGGUGAGGAAUACAUCGGAAUCUACUUUUUCGUGGGGGUUAACGUAGGGACACUUACGCUAAUACCGCAUACGACCUACGGGUGAAAGCAGGGGAUCUUCGUACCUUUCGCGAUUGAAUGAGCCGAUGCCGGAUUAGCUAGUUGGCGGGUUAACGGCCCACCCAGGCGACGAUCCGUAGCUGGUCGGAGAGGAGGAUCGGCCACACGGGAACUGAGACACGGACCAGACGACUACGGGAGGCACCAGUGGGGAAUAGUGGACAAGGGGGGCAAGCAUUAACCAGAGAUAGGGAGAGGGAGAAGAAGGCGUGGGGGGUGUAAAGCCGGUUUGUAGGGAAAGAAAAGCAGCAGGAUAAUACCAAGCGGGUGUGACGGUAACGAAAGAAGAAGCACCGGCUAACUACGUG
This 492-nucleotide ribosomal RNA is filed under the name uncultured bacterium. Its description in RNAcentral is "partial 16S ribosomal RNA". It matches the Rfam family "Bacterial small subunit ribosomal RNA", at positions 30 to 507 of the family's 1533-position model. The record is from RNAcentral.